CAGAGGUUACUGCUAUYGRGAUUCGACUAAGCCAUGCGAGUUGAAUGUUCUUCGUGAACAUGGCGGACUGCUCAGUAACACGUGGACAACCUACCCUUGGGUCCGGCAUAAUCCUGGGAAACUGGGAAUAAUUCCGGAUAGGUCACCGAUGCUGGAAUGCGCGGUGGCCGAAAGCUCCGGCGCCCGAGGAUGGGUCUGCGGCCUAUCAGGGUUGUAGUGGGUGUAACGUACCUACUAGCCUACGACGGGUACGGGUUGUGAGAGCAAGAGCCCGGAGAUGGAUUCUGAGACACGAAUCCAGGCCCUACGGGGUGCAGCAGGCGCGAAAACUUUACAAUGCGGGAAACCGUGAUAAGGGGAUCUCGAGUGCCAGCAUAUAAUGUUGGCUGUCCAGAUGCCUAAAAAGCAUCUGUUAGCAAGGGCCGGGCAAGACCGGUGCCAGCCGCCGCGGUAACACCGGCGGCCCGAGUGGUAACCGCUAUUAUUGGGUCUAAAGGGUCUGUAGCCGGCCAGGUAAGUCCCUUGGGAAAUCUGGCAGCUCAACUGUCAGGCUGCUAGGGGAUACUGUUUGGCUUGGGACCGGGAGAGGUGAGAGGUACCUUGGGGGUAGGGGUGAAAUCUUGUGAUCCUCGAGGGACCACCAGUGGCGAAGGCGUCUCACCAGAACGGGUCCGACGGUAAGGGACGAAAGCUAGGGGCACGAACCGGAUUAGAUACCCGGGUAGUCCUAGCCGUAAACGAUGCUCGCUAGGUGUCAGUCACGGUGCGACCGUGAUUGGUGCCGUAGGGAAGCCGUGAAGCGAGCCACCUGGGAAGUAUGGCCGCAAGGCUGAAACUUAAAGGAAUUGGCGGGGGGAGCACUACAWCGGGUGGAGCCUGCGGUUUAUUG
RNAcentral lists this ribosomal RNA (889 nucleotides) under uncultured Methanosaeta sp. RNAcentral describes it as "bacterial SSU rRNA". It matches the Rfam family "Archaeal small subunit ribosomal RNA", at positions 18 to 907 of the family's 1478-position model. Lineage: Archaea; Methanobacteriati; Methanobacteriota; Methanomicrobia; Methanotrichales; Methanotrichaceae. The record is from RNAcentral.